CAGUAGCCGCGGUAAUACGUAGGGUGCAAGCGUUAAUCGGAAUUACUGGGCGUAAAGCGUGCGCAGGCGGCUUCUUAAGUCGGAUGUGAAAUCCCUGAGCUUAACUUAGGAAUUGCAUUCGAUACUGGGAAGCUAGAGUAUGGGAGAGGAUGGUAGAAUUCCAGGUGUAGCGGUGAAAUGCGUAGAGAUCUGGAGGAAUACCGAUGGCGAAGGCAGCCAUCUGGCCUAAUACUGACGCUGAGGUACGAAAGCAUGGGGAGCAAACAGGAUUAGAUACCCGCGUAGUCCCUGUCUCUUAUAC
RNAcentral lists this ribosomal RNA (301 nucleotides) under uncultured bacterium. RNAcentral's name for it is "partial 16S ribosomal RNA". It matches the Rfam family "Bacterial small subunit ribosomal RNA", at positions 509 to 807 of the family's 1533-position model. The record is from RNAcentral.